GGACGGGUAUAGGCGGGCCAAGCGGUCUUGAAAACCGUAGUCUUUAAUCUGGCUUGGGGGUUCAACUCCCUCUCCUUCCGCCA
RNAcentral lists this transfer RNA (83 nucleotides) under bacterium. RNAcentral describes it as "tRNA-OTHER". It matches the Rfam family "tRNA". Rfam says of the family: Transfer RNA (tRNA) molecules are approximately 80 nucleotides in length. Their secondary structure includes four short double-helical elements and three loops (D, anti-codon, and T loops). The record is from RNAcentral.